RNAcentral lists this ribosomal RNA (497 nucleotides) under uncultured bacterium. RNAcentral describes it as "partial 16S ribosomal RNA". It matches the Rfam family "Bacterial small subunit ribosomal RNA", at positions 28 to 507 of the family's 1533-position model. The record is from RNAcentral.
GAUGAACGCUGGCGGCGUGCCUAAUACAUGCAAGUCGAGCGAACAGACGAGGAGCUUACUCCUCUGACGUUAGCGGCGGACGGGUGAGUAACACGUGGAUAACCUACCUAUAAGACUGGGAUAACUUCGGGAAACCGGAGCUAAUACCGGAUAACAUGUUGAACCGCAUGGUUCAACAGUGAAAGACGGUCUUGCCGUCACUUAUAGAUGGAUCCGCGUCGCAUUAGCUAGUUGGUAAGGUAACGGCUUACCAAGGCAACGAUGCGUAGCCGACCUGAGAGGGGGAUCGGCCACACUGGAACUGAGACACGGUCCAGACUCCUACGGGGGGCAGCAGUAGGGAAUCUUCGGCAAUGGGCGAAGGCCUGACGGGGCAACGCCGCUUGGGUGAAGAAGGUCUUCGGAUCGUAAAACUCUGUUAUUAGGGAAGAACAAAUGUGUAAGUAACUAUGCACGUCUUGACGGUACCUAAUCAGAAAGCCACGGCUAACUACGUG